Molecule: unclassified non-coding RNA, 812 nt
Filed under: soil metagenome
Description: partial contains internal transcribed spacer 1, 5.8S ribosomal RNA, and internal transcribed spacer 2
Rfam family: 5.8S ribosomal RNA (bases 163-316)
Source: RNAcentral
CCGAGUGCAAACUCACCAACCCAUGUGAACAUACCUUCUGUUGCUUCGGCGGGAUCGCCCCGGGCGCCUUCUGCGUGCCCCGGACCAGGCACCCGCCGGGGGAUACAAACUCUUGAUUUUAGUGGAUUAUCUGAGUCGCCUUAGGGCAAACAAAUGAAUCAAAACUUUCAACAAUGGAUCUCUUGGUUCUGGCAUCGAUGAAGAACGCAGCGAAAUGCGAUAAGUAAUAUGAAUUGCAGAGUUAAGUGAAUCAUCGAAUCUUUGAACGCACAUUGCGCCCGCCAGUAUUCUGGCGGGCAUGCCUGUCUGAGCGUCAUUUCACCACUCGUCACCGGCUUUUGCUGGAGGCGGCGUUGGGGAUCGGCCUCCCGCACCGGGUCGCCGUCCCCUAAAUGAAGUGGCGGUUGCGCUGUGACCUCCUCCGCGUAGUAACUGCUCUCGCGGGCGGAUAGCAGUGCGGCCACGCCGUAAAACCCCCAACUAUACCAUGGUUGACCACAGAUCAGGUAGGAAUACCCGCUGAACUUAAGCAUAUCAAUAAGCGGAGGAAUCGAUGCCUUGGUCAUUUAGAGGAAGUAAAAGUCGUAACAAGGUCUCCGUUGGUGAACCAGCGGAGGGAUCAUUACAGAGUUGCAAAACUCCCACAAACCAUCGCGAAUCUUACCCGUACGGUUGCCUCGGCGCUGGCGGUCCGGAAGGCCCUCGGGCCCCCGGAUCCUCGGGUCUCCCGCUCGCGGGAGGCUGCCCGCCGGAGUGCCGAAACUAAACUCUUGAUAUCUUAUGUCUCUCUGAGUACACUUUUAAAUAAGUCA